AAGCUGAGCUUUGAAUAGUUUUGGGGAAACCCGACGGUUCUUUAACAACACCGUUAUUAACGCUGAAUUUGGAUAUGCAAAUCAACGAUGUCUGAGAUUUCGUCAAUAUACAACAUAUCUGUCAUCGCAUGUGAAUUGUUUUUUUAGCUUCCGGUUCUGGUGUGCUGGUUUGUUCAUGGAGGGGUGAGUCAGAUACAUCAAGAUACAUCUCUAAUGUUCACCAGAACUGAAGCCUUCAGUGAAGAGAGCAGGUCUGAACUUCAUCCUCUUGCAGACUUCAGUUCAUCCAGGAUUUACUGUGUGACCAGUCAGUGUCAAAGCAGCAUGUGCUUUUAAAAAAGAUAUUUGUGUUGAUUUAUGUGCCAAAUAACCUGCUGGAUUAUAUAUGAACUAUACUAAUAUAUUGCAUACCUUCAUGUAAUAUUACAUACUUUAUAUCGGCACAGUAGUUAUAUAAAAAUUAUAAUUAAUGCUGCAUAUAACGUCAUUUAUAAUAAUUAUUAGUGGUAGUAGUAUUAUACAAAGUUAUAAUAUGCGAUUACAUAUUUGAUUUGCAUUCCAAUUACAUUUUGCAAACUAUAUAUUCUAUGAUGUGAUUUCAUAUUUUAUGAUUUAAAUUUAAAAAAGAUUUGCAUUCCAUUACAAUUUUGCAAUCCCUGUAUUUUAUCAUUUGAGACAUCAAAGUAAGGACUAAACAUGGUUUAACCCUUCUGAGUUAAUGAGGGUUAAACACUUACUUUGCUCAAUUAGUCUCACUCUUUUCUCUCUCUUUCUUGGUUUUGCUCCUCACACUCUGGAUCUGAGCUGGGAGUUCAGGGGACAGAAGGGACGUCCCGCUGUCUGGGUCAGGGCAGUGUAACGGGUCACAGACAGAGGUCUGAUGGCACCUUCAGUCAGAGCAGCUGUCUGGAGCUGGACUCGGUCGCAGUGGAGAUGUCAGCUGUGUAGACAAACAUGACGAGCUGCCGCUGCACUCAAUGUGAUCUCUGUGUUACACUGUCAAUGACUGACACAUGAUUAUAGUUGUUUUCUGCAGAAGCCAAAAGAGCAAAAUAUAUAUUAAAACAUUUUUUUAUAUAUAUUUCACUAAAAACAGUAAUAUGUUUUUGUAAAGAGCAAGUUAAUGAUCAUGGAAGAUUAAGUGGUUCACCAACAGGUGGCGACAAAUGACUUUGUCUUUUGUAAGGGAAUCAGCCAAAAAAAAAAAUCCUCCAGAUUUCAGUGCAUAUUCAGUUUGCAUUUCCAAAGGAAUAUGUUUGUCAGACAGAAUGUUCCUCUAUUCUUGAUGUGAUGUUGAUAUCAGGUGUCAGUGCUCCUUCUAUUGAGGACUCGAUGGUUGCUGUUGCAUUUGUUCUUUAUUAAAUGUUACAUUUUCUUUCCUGGACAUUCAGCUCCUCUGGUGAGUCAGUUCUGUCUCAUCACUACAAUACUGUACUUUUCUUUCCCCUAAGUAGGAUAUAGAGCUGUGUUUAUAAUAAAAUAUGCCUGGCAUAUGCAUAUAAA
Molecule: long non-coding RNA, 1503 nt
Organism: Carassius auratus (goldfish)
Lineage: Eukaryota; Metazoa; Chordata; Actinopteri; Cypriniformes; Cyprinidae
Exons: 2
Source: RefSeq, a predicted model, not a curated record